GCCUGGCUGGCUCAGUUAGUUGGUAGAGCAUAUGACUCUUGAUCUUAGUACUGUGAGUUCAAGACCCAUGUUGGGCA
This 77-nucleotide transfer RNA is filed under the name Mustela putorius furo (domestic ferret). It matches the Rfam family "tRNA". From Rfam's summary of the family: Transfer RNA (tRNA) molecules are approximately 80 nucleotides in length. Their secondary structure includes four short double-helical elements and three loops (D, anti-codon, and T loops). The record is from Rfam by way of RNAcentral. Lineage: Eukaryota; Metazoa; Chordata; Mammalia; Carnivora; Mustelidae.